Molecule: long non-coding RNA, 952 nt
Organism: Zerene cesonia (dogface butterfly)
Lineage: Eukaryota; Metazoa; Arthropoda; Insecta; Lepidoptera; Pieridae
Exons: 2
Source: RefSeq, a predicted model, not a curated record
CUUAAGCGUAGUGUUCCAUAUUGUUUCAAUGGUCUCGUGGUUGUAAUUAUAUAUCACUCGAAAGGCUUUUAAUCUGGAAUGUUCCCGUUAUAUAAUAUUUCAAAAAUGUAUGUUUAUUUUAACAUUUAUAUCUCUAUAAAACCUUUGAUUUUAUUUCGAAUGUUGUUGUCUAGGAGCAGUAUUUUUGACAUACAUUUGAAGUAGGUACUUGGUCUGAAUUAUCGAAUUAAAAAAAUAUCUGCAUAUGAGAGAAGGUACAAUCGAAAUACAUAGUUUAUAGAGUUUAUUGCUGUUUACUCUCAAUGUAAAUAUUUUACACAUGACUAUACUAUGACGAUAUGUACGAUAUUUUAAACAGUUCUGUACCUAGGUGCAAUAGCAGCUCGGUACUGGUUAAAGUCUAUCAUGAUAACGCUUUGUCAUACUAUCUACAUAUUCUUAUUUUUAAUGAUUAGGUUAUUAGUUUUAGACUCGUUUAAAUGUACAUUGAAAUUCCUAGUCAAUAAUAUAACUCUACGUCGACUAAAUAACUUGUUCAAUCAAUUAUUCACAAUAUAUUCAAAGUGAUCUAUAUAUUUUGAUGGUAUGAUGAAUUAAGUGCAAAUUUUAAUGUAUUGUAUGUAGGCAUGGAUAUGCCAGAUAUCUAGAUUUUGUUUUCAAACUUUAAGUGUGCCUAAUCUGUACAUUAAUCUUCAUUAACAGCCGUUAAUGUAAAUAUCUAUUAUGUUCUUAGCAACUUUGCGUUUUUAAGCUUUAGUCAUUUUCUUAAUUGAUUUGUAAGACUCUUAUCGAAUUAUUUUCGUGUAUGCUAGUAUCCCGGUACUUUGAAGGGAGGUAUUUUACUUUUCAUUUAAGUUAGUAAUUAAAAUUGUUUGAUCUUUUACUAUCAACCUAAGUGCUCAUAUAUCGUAUAUUUGUGUAAAAUUAAUCAUAUUAAAGUGUUAUGCAUUGA